ACCGGCUUAGAGCAGUGGUAGCUCGCUGGCCUCCGAAGCCAGAAGUCGGCGGUUCGAAUCCGUCAGUCGGUU
RNAcentral lists this transfer RNA (72 nucleotides) under Eutypa lata UCREL1. RNAcentral describes it as "tRNA-Arg (CCG) (tRNA-Arg-CCG-1-1)". It matches the Rfam family "tRNA". From Rfam's summary of the family: Transfer RNA (tRNA) molecules are approximately 80 nucleotides in length. Their secondary structure includes four short double-helical elements and three loops (D, anti-codon, and T loops). Further hydrogen bonds mediate the characteristic L-shaped molecular structure. tRNAs have two regions of fundamental functional importance: the anti-codon, which is responsible for specific mRNA codon recognition, and the 3' end, to which the tRNAs corresponding amino acid is attached (by aminoacyl-tRNA synthetases). tRNAs cope with the degeneracy of the genetic code in two manners: having more than one tRNA (with a specific anti-codon) for a particular amino acid; and 'wobble' base-pairing, i.e. permitting non-standard base-pairing at the 3rd anti-codon position. Lineage: Eukaryota; Fungi; Ascomycota; Sordariomycetes; Xylariales; Diatrypaceae. The record is from RNAcentral.